Long non-coding RNA from Chelonia mydas (Green sea turtle), 1047 nucleotides. RefSeq lists it as uncharacterized. Lineage: Eukaryota; Metazoa; Chordata; Testudines; Cheloniidae. The transcript is spliced from 2 exons. The record is from RefSeq and is a predicted model, not a curated record.
GUUGGCCACCCCAGUCUAACCUGCUCUUAAAAGUCUCCAGUGACUGGGCUGUUGAUAAGUAAAUCUUGGGAAACUGAGGAAGUUCCAGAGGACUGAAAGAAAGCCAGUGCUGUGCUGAUAUUUUAAAAUGACAAAUGGAACGAAUGGAGUCAUUUGGCCUCCCAUCAACCCAGGAAAAAAUAAUGGAACAGCAGAGAUGGAUCUAGUAAUAAAGAGGCUGCGUAAUGGAGAGUGGCACCUUAUCCUCAAGAGGGAAGAGGCACUGAUGGUGAGAAUAAAAGAAGAAAUCAACUAGUCCGGAGUUGAAUCCCAUCCAUCUACACACAGAUGGACAGAGUUUUGAGGCGUCCCUUGAUGGCUGAAGGGGAGAGAUGGGGACAGAAGCAGCUCAGCCCUCCAGGCUGUGGAUCUGAUGUUCUUGGAGGGAGAAUUGGGAUCCCUGCAUUAGGGGUUAGUGGCACUAACCCCAAACCUCCAAUGAUGGACCUUAGCUGGGAGGCUGAUUUUGCCAUUCACUCUGCUUGUGCUUUUGUAGCUUUUCAAGAGAUCUCAGCAUCCAACGUGCAGGUCUCUGGAAAACUUGGGCAGAAGAGUGACAAUGGGAGCUGCUGGAUUCUGAGCAAUUCUGAAAAUCUGUCCCAAAGUCCCAGGAGCACCCCACACCAGGUCUGAAGUUCAGCCACGAAAGAAGAACCACCGAGUAGAAAUGUACUGGAAUAGAAAAGGGAGGAACCACAACUUGCCCCAAAGGGUUUUGUGUUUUAUGAGUCCAACAUUGGCCUCUGUUCUAACCUGCCCGGUUUGUUACUGUGACCACACCUCUCAACUCCCAAAGGGCUGCACUUUAAAGGGUAUUUCUCCAAACUGGUGGUGCCUCUCAGCUGAGAGAAGCUUCCGCCCCAUCUCUGUGAAUUUCAAGGCAGGAGCUACCAUGGCUAGGGCUGAAGCUGAAACCACACUGGAUAGUUCAGCUCAGAUCGGGAGGUUAAGAAUCCUCCAGCUCCUGGAAACUCUUUUGCCUUAAUAAAUUUUAAAUCAAUAUGUCAA